UGGACAGAGAAGUGGCCUCAGAACAUGGAAGCGGGGCGCUGAUUAACCAGGUGCCUCAGCUUCCUGACUACAUAGGACACAGACGUGAGGGCCAACAAAGCUAAGGGAGACUUUGGACACACUGACCUCUAGCUAACACACCCCACAGCCGCCCACGCCUGUCCUCCACACCAACUGUGACACAGGAGGACAGUCAAGAGGACAAGGAACAUCCUCUCCUCCCAAACCUUGAUUCCUAGUGAGGACACAGAAACCUCAAGUUCCAGUCUUGACUGGUAGUGAGCAGACAGCCCAGGAUCGUCUAGUGUUCCCAUUGAAGACUGGGCAGAGGAGAUCGGAGACAGGAGACAUGGCAAGCCACAGCGGAGGGCAGAGACGGGCUGAGCACUUGCCCUUUGCCCCCGUCUCCAUGGUCAUCUAGUCAACACAUUCUGGCCCUUCAUAUCUCAUCUACAAUAGAACUACCAGAUACAUCUCUGCUGCAACUGGAGAUAAGACCAGAAUCUGUCAAGCUUCUGCUUGCCCCCUCCCUCCCGGCUCUUAACAGCCAGUGGAAAAGGCUCCUUCUGGCUGCUGAAUUGCAACUGAGCCUAUGUAACAAAGAGGUGCUUCCCAGGAUGCCAGGAAAUUGCAGGAAAAAUGGUCUCUCCACCUUUGGAAAGAGUUCAUCUGGCCCUGCUGCUGCCUUCCUUCUAGAGGCCAAGCUCUUGUUAGAGACACUGCAAUUUAUUCCCUUGCUGAGGACUAUGAUGCAGGAAAUGGAGAAGGAGAAGGACUCUGAGCAUUUGGUUGGCUGCUGGGACAGGUGAGCUUCUGAGAUGGUGAUCUCAUUUGUCUUGCAAAUACCACGCACACACUACCCAGAAGAGGGGCUGGGAGACAAGCCACCAAGCCUCGGUGACUGCAGAUGGAAUUGUUUCUAAACAGAAUGUUUUUCAAAGCUUCUCUUGAAGCAUUAGCUGUGCCUGCAAAAUGAAUGACACAAUGUAUUUCGUACAAGUAAUAAAAUAUGUGAUUUGAAUAACUACAAAUGAAAA
RNAcentral lists this long non-coding RNA (1037 nucleotides) under Mus musculus (house mouse). Its description in RNAcentral is "RIKEN cDNA 9630041A04 gene". The record is from RNAcentral. Lineage: Eukaryota; Metazoa; Chordata; Mammalia; Rodentia; Muridae.